RNAcentral lists this ribosomal RNA (253 nucleotides) under uncultured bacterium. RNAcentral describes it as "partial 16S ribosomal RNA". It matches the Rfam family "Bacterial small subunit ribosomal RNA", at positions 524 to 776 of the family's 1533-position model. The record is from RNAcentral.
UACGUAGGGGGCAAGCGUUGUCCGGAAUCAUUGGGCGUAAAGCGCUCGUAGGUGGAUCGGUAAGUCUGCAAAGAAAGACCCGGGCUCAACUCGGGGAACGGUGUGGAUACUACCGAUCUUGAGGCAAUCAGAGGAUGAUGGAAUUCCCGGUGUAGCGGUGAAAUGCGUAGAUAUCGAGAGGAACACCAGUGGCGAAGGCGAGUCCCUGGACAACUUCUGACGCUGAGGCACGAAAGCUAGGGGAGCAAACAGG